This is a long non-coding RNA of Micropterus dolomieu (smallmouth bass), 1232 nucleotides long. RefSeq lists it as uncharacterized. NCBI's taxonomy places the organism in Eukaryota, Metazoa, Chordata, Actinopteri, Centrarchiformes, Centrarchidae. The record is from RefSeq and is a predicted model, not a curated record. The transcript is spliced from 4 exons.
UUUGUUUUCAUCACAGGCAUUUUAAGCCACCUGUUGUCCAGACCUUGUCGGCUGAAGAGCCUGUUGUGUUAAAGUUCACCGCAGAUAAGGCAUUGGUGGUUGAUAACCCUGAGAUAAAAAUAUGCUAUCCAGUAGAACUAUGCAAGUUUAGUAGUUUGUGUGCCUUUGAUAACAUGAUUUACAUUGCAGUAGGCCUAAACGUCUGAUCCGUAAAUGAGGUGGUGUCAAAGCUGGGCUGACUAUUUACUGCAUUGUUUGAGGUAAAUAUCAUUUGUCAGGUAUUUAGCAGGUAUGUUUUUGUAGUAUGUGUUAAAUAACUGAACUAAUUAAAUUCUUGUAAUUUUAGGGUUGUAUAGCCACUGCUGUUUUGCCUGCCUGAUCAACUGUUAUUUGUGCUCUUUAUUUAUUUUUAUUUUUUUUAUGUGGAAUCUUAUUUUAUUAGAUUUGUUAUAGGUGAAUGGGCCCCUGUGAAUGUUUUUGCCAACUGCUAAGGUCUGCUAAGGGUGUGGCCGUUUUCCCUGUUUUGGCUGUGUGAGUUCCCUCAGCUUGUUAGCCAUUAUUUCCCCUUCUUUUAAGUGUUGUGCCAGACAGACAGGGUGGAGGAUUUUGAGAACCCCUUUCCCCUUCACUGCAUGUGGUGGUGUGUAUGACAGCUGUGUGCGCAUGCUUAACUUAGUUUUAUUGUGUGGUGUUUGAUGUGUGUAUUCUGCUGUGUUUAGGUGGCUGCGCACUAGUGUGAGUAGCGGUGUCAAGGUGGCCCACAGCUUGAGAGAUACACACCACAACUGAUUGCCCUGUACAAGCAGAAGGCCAAGAGAGCAGACGCCCUGCAGAGAUCCUCCGGAUUUAUGACCUUCAAGAACAAUAUGAGGUACACAUGGGAUGCCACCCGACCCUCCGUGGCCUCCAAGUGAACCUGCUAGCAGAUGACUGACGUCUUCAAAACCUGCAAUCAACUGACAGGUUUAAAGAGAUGAAAGGAUAAAUAAGGAUACAUCCCUGGUCCUGGGACCCAGAACCAGGGAGCAGACCUGCUGUCGAGACGGGGGCUGAGGCCCGGGGAAUGGAGACUCCACCCCCAGGUGGUGGUUAUUAUGCGACAGGUUCGGACCCAUAACGUGGACUUGUUUGCGUCUCGAGACUUCGCACUGUCCCCUGUGGUUCUCCCUCUCGCCCCCAGCCCCGCUAGGGCUGGAUGCCAUGGUACGGACGUGGCCGAGGCUGCGCCUGUA